CUUUUUAGUUUUCUAUUUCUUUAAGAAGAAAAAAGUUAAUUAUUUUCUUACACGUGUCAACAUCUGAUCGAUAGACUUGACACAUGGCAUAAUCCUAUGAGUUAAUAAUUUUCAAAACCAUACUUUAUAUAAUAAGAUAUG
Molecule: small RNA, 141 nt
Filed under: Arabidopsis thaliana (thale cress)
Lineage: Eukaryota; Viridiplantae; Streptophyta; Magnoliopsida; Brassicales; Brassicaceae
Description: ATSL028130
Source: RNAcentral